Molecule: ribosomal RNA, 878 nt
Filed under: uncultured archaeon
Lineage: Archaea
Description: bacterial SSU rRNA
Rfam family: Archaeal small subunit ribosomal RNA
Source: RNAcentral
CGGACCCGACUGCUCUCGGAUUGAGACUAAGCCAUGCGAGUCAACCCGCAAGGGUGGCAUACGGCUCAGUAACACGUAGUCAACCUACCCUAAGGACGUGGAUAACCCUGGGAAACUGGGGAUAAACCACGAUAGGUCAUAACUCCUGGAAUGGGUUAUGGCUCAAAUCUAUAUGGCCUUAGGAUGGGACUGCGUCCGAUCAGGUUGUUGGUGGGGUAAUGGCCCACCAAGCCUAUAACCGGUACGGGCUCUGAGAGGAGGAGCCCGGAGAUGGGCACUGAGACAAGGGCCCAGGUCCUAUGGGACGCAGCAGGCGCGAAACCUCCGCAAUGGGCGAAAGCCUGACGGGGUUAAUUCGAGUGGCUCCUGCUGAAGGAGUCUUUUAUCAGCUGUAAAUAGGCUGAUGAAUAAGGGGUGGGCAAGCCUGGUGUCAGCCGCCGCGGUAAUACCGGCACCCCGAGUGGUCGGGAUGAUUAUUGGGUCUAAAGCAUCCGUAGCCGGUGUAUUAAGUCCUACGUUAAAUCCACUUGCUUAACAAGUGGGCUGCGUGGGAUACUACUACACUAGGAGGCGGGAGAGGCGAGAGGUAUUCCACGGGUAGGGGUAAAAUCCACUGAUCCGUGGAGGACCACCAGUGGCGAAGGCGUCUCGCCAGAACGCGCUCUACGGUGAGGGAUGAAAGCUGGGGGAGCAAACCGGAUUAGAUACCCGGGUAGUCCCAGCUGUAAACGAUGUAGGCUCGGUAAUGGAUUGGCUCCGGGCUAAUCCAGUGCCGCAGGGAAGCCGUUAAGCCUACCACCUGGGGAGUACGGCCGCAAGGCUGAAACUUAAAGGAAGUGUCGGGGGAGCACCACAAAGUGUGAAGCCUGCGGUCAUGU